RNAcentral lists this ribosomal RNA (253 nucleotides) under uncultured bacterium. RNAcentral's name for it is "partial 16S ribosomal RNA". It matches the Rfam family "Bacterial small subunit ribosomal RNA", at positions 524 to 776 of the family's 1533-position model. The record is from RNAcentral.
UACGUAGGUGACGAGCGUUGUCCGGAUUUACUGGGCGUAAAGCGCACGCAGGCGGUGCUGCGCGUUUGGGGUUACAGCUCCCGGCUCAACCGGGAGAGCGCCUCGAAGACGGCAGCACUUAAGGGCCAGAGAGGGACACGGAACUCCGGGUGGAGUGGUGAGAUGCGUAGAUAUCCGGAAGAACACCAAAGGCGAAGGCAGUGUCCUGGCUGGUACCUGACGCUCAGGUGCGAAAGCUAGGGGAGCGAACGGG